CUGGUGAGACAGCAUGGGAAGAAAUAACACAUGGGCUUUUGUGCAGCUGGAUAUAAUGAAGCCAUGCUCUGACGCCUCCUGCCUGGUUGGCGAUAAUCCCUAAUGCAAAGGGAUCGUGUGAAGGUAACCAACCCCUGCCUACAUUUUACUCUGGAUUCCAAGAGUAGACUGGGCUUCAGGGACCAGAUGCCAGGGCUGGCACAUCUGCCUAAAACCCAUAAUUCUUGAACUUGACGUGCUCAGCCUCUCCAAAGCCGCGGCGCUGACACAGCUCCCCCUGCACGAGUGUACAGCAGUCAGACAGGAACGGGGAGAGGGGGCUCAACUUUCUGACGGCCACUUAGAGGCUGCCUGACCACAAAGACAGGACUGUAAAACAUAGACCGCAUGUGACCUGCUGGUGCUCGGCACUGACCCAGGGGAGGAGGGCCACUUGGGCUGGAAUGCAGUUGCUGGGGGCUCAUGAGGGGCUCAGUGGUGCCCCUGGCCACCGAGUCAAGCAGCGUAGAUUGAUCAGAGGAGCUGAGAGCUGAGGCCCACCCUCCCCUUUCUCCUACACAUGGACACCUCUGAGUGGAAUAAGGGAAGACUGUCCUUUCUCCAAGCUUGAAGGAAGAUGACUGUGACUCUUUUCCUGGACUUCAAGGCAUCGAAGUGUCAGCUGGCUGCCAUCCCAGCGUCUGACAGGGCAGCAGGAGAAAGAGGCCACCUGUAUCAUCCACCCGUGCUGCAGCUGAAUGGGAUCGGUGCAGCAUGAUAGAGGCCAGCUGCCCCGCACCAGGUCUGCGUGUCACAGGGCAGAGUGCAUGGUCUCCCUUCACGUGCGGGGCCAGGUGACUGCACAGAGUGAUGAGCUGGGCCCACUUUCCUGCUAUUGGCCGCCAGCAAAGAAUACAAGGGGUUUCCCUUCCCUUCCCUUCCCUUCCCUUCCCUUCCCUUCCCUAUCGACAGCCUUGCAGGGUGGUGGUUUCCUUUGCCCGGAGAGUUCAGAGGCCUUAGUUCUGGAAAGCCUCCUGUGGGGAGAUGGAGUGGCGGGGAUAGGGACCAGAGCAGAGAGGGCAGCAGCAUAAACAAAGAGGAGAGGCAAACUGUUUGAGCCCAGGAGUUUGAGACCAGCCUGGGCAACAUGGUGAAACCCUGUCUCUAUAAAAAAUAUAAAACUUAGCUGGGUGUGGUGGCACAUGCCUAUGGUCCCAGGUAUCUGGAGCAUGGGGUGGUGGUGGGGUGGUGGGAGGAUCAUCUGAGCCUGGGGAGGUCGAGGCCACAGUAAGCUAGGAUUGUAUCACUGCACUCCAGCCUUGGCAACAGAGAGAGAUCUUAUCUCAGAACAAAACAAAAAAAUUGGAGAAGGGAUUUCUCUGAUUUCUCCCUUUGGGAAGGGAGGCUUGGAGGCUGCCUGGGGCUGAGCAGGGAGCACCAUGCUUGUAGGCCUUUGGGGAGGUUUCGAGGUCCAAGUGUGACUUAGAGGAACUGGGAGAUGCCAGCAGACACUGAGACCCAAAGGGGCCUGGCUUGGGACCUAUGCAGCUGUGGGAGGGGAAAGGCCCUCCCCGCUACCAGAUGCAGACUCUGGUGCCCUGAAGCCUGGCGUCUGAGCCAGAUCUGACUUUGUGUAGAAGCAUAAAAGGAGUAGGAUGUUUGUGAUGGCUGAGCGUCAUGGAGGAAUUCAUACCUGUUCCUGGAGCAAUCUAUUUUUAACCUUGUUAACCUGAACUGUACUUUAAGAUUGAAACUAAAUGCAGCCUCUUUUCUACCCAUGAUUUAUUAGACCUCCCCUUUCUAUCAAAUUAAAGCUCUGCACAAACGAAACAAUUCAUCCUCAUCUAAUUUAUAACCAUCCUCCCACACUAGGAAUAUGGAGCCAGGAAUGAGGGAGGUUCACGUGGGAGGUGGCAACUGCAGAACAGACAGCUCUUUGGAUUUCUUUAAAUUGCCAUUUAAUUCCAUCCAUCAACCCAUUUUUCUGCUGUAUACAUAGAAAAGGACAACAGCCACUCCCUCAACCAAAUAUCCCUACAUUCAGUUAAAAGCUACUCUGUACCCCAGGACAUGGGAGCAGCUCCUAUCCUUCCCAGGUGAAAAAGUGGGCUUUUUUUCCCCCUUAAGGCUAAAUAGGAUUUCUUUUCUGUUAGCUAUGGGUAGGUGACUUCUUAAUGAUCUUUAAGGAAAGAAGUCAAUACAAGGAAAAUAUCCUUUUUUAAUCCCAUUUUCCUUCUCACCCCACACUGAGCGUUACUAUAGCAACAUCUUUCCUGCUACUAGGACAGUUAAGUCCCCCUGUGAAGUUAACCGAAAGCUGCUUUUUCACUCAGAGAAUGGGCUGCUGUUCAUUGACCAGCUUUUCCUGCGUGUCUAAAUUCUUCGGUUCUCUCUGACAUGCUCAAUCUAGGGUUUCCCGCGGCUAAACCCUAAAAUUCACUUCGAAACUCCUAACAGCAGAAUUCCCCAAACCUUUUCAGAACUGAACUCAUUAGAAAUGAAUUUACAUUUUGAUUUAGUUAUAAAUAACUUUUCUUCUGUGUAUUGGUUUAAGUUUAGAAAAGGCCCCCUGUAAAGAAGACAAGUUGGAGAAUAAUCUCCCAUAUUCCUCUGCCAUCCUUUCUUUCCUUCCUUUCCUUGAGAUGGAGUCUCUCUCUGUCGCCCAGGCUGGAGUGCAGUGGAGUGAUCUCAGCUCACUGCAACCUCCGCCUCCCGGGUUCAAGCGAUGCUCCUGCCUCAGCCUCCCGAGUAGCUGGGACUACAGGCAUGCACCACCAUGCCUGGCUAAUUUUUUGUAUUUUUAGUAGACACAGCGUUUCACCGUGUAAGCUAGGAUGGUCUCGAUCUCCUGACCUCAUGAUCAGCCCGCCUCGGCCUCCCAAUGUGCUGGGAUUACAGGUAUGAGCCACCGUGGCUGGCCUCCUUUUUCUUUUAAACACAUACAUACAUAUAUGUAAAAACAAAAGAAAAUUUCAGGACCUUCCAAAUUUCACAGGCCUAGAGGAAAGUUAAGCCCUGGAAAUGGAGUUGUGAGAGCAGGCUGUUUUUUCUCUCUGGUGCGUGACCACUGCUUCCUGAUUUUUGUGUUGAGAUCUUAGACCUUAACCAGACUUAUAGCCUUCAUUCAAACCAGACUGAAUGAUGUGGGAGGUAGGGACCUUGGUCAUUGUUAUCUCUUUAUAAUAAAAUGCUAAGCAACCCCCUUAGAGUGAAGUCAACAGUAGCCAAUCAAAUCUUACAUCUGUGUGUUAGCCGUUGUAUGGAAAACACCGUGAUUCUGUUCAGCGCCUCCCUUUUGCCUCCAUAAAAGAUCUUCACUUUUCCCCACACCGUAAUAUUUCACUGGAUUCUUGGAAUAUCAGAAAUUCAUCAUUCUUUGGUGUCUGCGUAUCUCUGAAUGGCCACUCCCAUGCAGCCCUUGAAUGAAUUACUUAACUGGAUCCUAAGCAUUUUGAUUAUUUUAGAUGGACAUAUACACAUGCAUAUACACGUAUGUGUACAUACACAUAUGUAAUGAAAUUGUUCCAAAACACAGAAAAUACAAAGACUAAUGUAAUCAGGACUCACAUAUCCACAUCUUAGAUUUAAUGCUGAUUUCGGGGGGCAUUUUUGCUUCAAAUUUGUAAAAAGCAAAGGUUACAGACAUAAAGAUCUUGCGAUUCUCUUAUCCCAGUUUCUUCCGUCUUUCUUCUCUUCUUUCUCUUUCUCUGUCCCCCGAGGUAGCAUCUAUGCUGACGUUCCCGUAUAUCUUUUCCAUCCAAAUAUUUGCAUUUUUGCUACACAUUACGUGCAAGGCUUUUAUCUGCUUCCUCCUAAUUUGUGGGGGCAAGAGGCUAGACAUCUCUGGCUGGAAAGGCACUCCCUGCAGAUCUGGGAAGCCAUGAGCCACAGGAGCAUUAGCUGUUCCUCUACCCUUUCGUUUCUUUGCUGGACAAUCCUUAUAAGCUGGAGUCCAAGUUAACCUUCCCAAAUGAGUGGCACUAUUAUUUUAAAAUAAAAGCGUUCAAGGUAGAGGAUGACUUUGGGACUCUGGCAACACAGGAAGCCCAGUGUGUUCUCCCCAAGGUCACAUUAAAAAGGUGGUGCAUCUGAGAUGGUGACUGCUCAGAAUAAAGUGAUAAGGGGACAAAAGGUGGAUGGCUUACUUACAGGUGUUAUGAAUGAGACCAUCAGGGCUCGGGUAAGAACAUUGUCUGGGAUAAAUGGUUUGUGGUUAUUGAUCUGGACCAACCUGAUAGAAAAGAAGCUGUGUGUAUUAUUAUUACAAUUUCUUGGUUUAUGCUUGCAAUUUAUAAUUUGUAUGCUCAGUCAAUUCUGCCAAUAUAAAAUAGUAAUGCCCCGGUUUCAAAAUCUGAUAUUGGAUUUUGUCCCACGAUUUAGCAUGUCCUCUAAGCAAAAUAACUGUCCAACCAGAUCACUUGCCUUCAACAACUUAAAACACAAGUAACUAGGGAGAAAAACAAACAAAGAAACAUAAACUCAAAGAAGGUUUCAAGAUUGACAUAGAGAAAAAUCUUUUCUCAUCUAUCCGUAUGUACUCUCCCACUGCUCAUCGUGGGCCCCAGGGAAAGGCGAUUUUAUUCAAAGAAGGUAACUCUGAACGUACUCAGGGCCGUAAUAUGUGAAAUGUCUCCCAGUGUUUGACAAAAAGACUCUCUUUUCAUGUUCAUAUUCCAUGGAAAUCUUAAGUCAAAGCAACAAUAAAAUAAGCUGACCCAUAAGUGCACGUGUUGAAGAGGCUCAGCCAAGAAAAACUGUUUGGUAGUUGCUGAAAACUGGCAUCUAGACCUCAAAGAGGAAAUCAGAACCAAAGUGCAGACUUGUCCCACCAGAGAUGGUGGGUGUUGGACUGAGUCAGCGACAGUGAGGCACUGACUAGACUUCCGUAACCAGCCAUACUUUCUAGUUUAUAAUGACAUUCAUGGUUAUUGUUCUACACAGACAGGUGUAGGGAAGCAAUGGGAAAGUGCAGGAAAACAGAAGCAUUGGGAAUGGAACAUCUUUGGUUUCUCCAUUUCAAUGCACUGCCAUGACCCCCACACCCACCCACGAGACUUUAGCUGUUCCAGAGCCAACGGUGCCUGCCUCUUUGCUGAUCCAUUACUCAUUCUCCCUACAGCUGCCUCAUAGCUUUGGCUCCCAAGAGGUAAGGUACAGGUAGUCUGGCUGCCUGCAUUAUCCUCCAGCCUCAAAAUACAUGGGGAACUGAAAAUAAACAAACUGUUGAUUCCUUGAGCUUAAGAAGGCCUCUUGGUGUUCCUUUAUACCUUUUCGAGUCUCUCCUAAGAUCAGAG
RNAcentral lists this long non-coding RNA (5273 nucleotides) under Homo sapiens (human). RNAcentral's name for it is "non-protein coding lnc-MAP3K4-6:3". Lineage: Eukaryota; Metazoa; Chordata; Mammalia; Primates; Hominidae. The record is from RNAcentral.